UGAUUCAUAACUGCCUUCCACUAUACAGUGUGGAUUGCAAAUAAAAAUAACCAGGAUUACUGCUAGACAUUAUCUGAAUUCUUCCUAGCAGCACCGUGGCCUAAGUCAGUGACACUGCAAACAUUUUAUUUUUCCUCUUGCAGUAUCAGUGUCCUUUUCAUGGACUUUAAACAGCUGAAACAGGCGUUUCAGGGUAUGACUCACCUGAGAUGCUUGAUAUGAGAGCGAGAGUCUGUGUUGUACAGGAGGAUUUCCAUCUGCAGCUAUUUCAAUCAUGCAGUACCCUUCAGGACUGCUAACAGGCAACAUAUAGCUGGAAGGAAACAGAAGAUCUCAUUACUGUUUAUGCCACUGACAGAGGAGUAUUCGAAUCUCAUACAGCAAAAGCAAGGUGAAAAAGAUGCUUCUGCUUCCAUUAGGGAUGACAGUCUUUGGACAAUAUGAAUUCUAGUUUUAUGGCUACAUGGACUAUCCAGGAGACAAAAGAUUGAGUGCACUAGCCUGAAGAGGACUUUCUGCUGGUAGUUCAUUUCUCAGCUAUUUGAUGGGAGCACAGCUUCAAAAAAGCAGCAGCAGAAGCAGGAGUUGUGCUGCUUCUGAAGGAGCACAGCUGACAACAGCAGCUUCUCUUUUGAAGCUGUCAGAAAGGAAGAAAGAUGGAGCAAGGAGCAAAAAACAGGGAUGAAGGAAGAACAGAGGGAGCAUAUGAACUCAUGAAAGGUAUUAUGUUUAUCUGACAGAACUACAGAAGAUCUUGGUGCCUGCACACAGAAAUAAUAGAUUACAAAGCUCUGGAUAACCUAUACAGGAUCAAUUUUUCCUUUACAAAUUCAUAGAGUGUUAAUAUACACACACAAAAAGUAAAAAAAAAUAAAUUGAGAGAUAUUUAUUUUACAUGAAUAUAAUAUUGUAUUUUACAUUCAAGCAAAAUUCAAUAGGGAUAUUGAUAAGGACACUCAAAUUACCAGAGAAACAUAGAACCAAAAAAUAAAAAGCAAAAACAAGGGAAAGACACUGGUGACAAGAGGAAAGAUACUAUAGAAAAGAGGAGGACAGUUUAAAUGUAAAGCAAAGAUAUAAUUGACAUUAAAUACCGGAGUGCCAGAGUUCUACAGUACAUGUAGGCCUCUCCUGCUUUAUGUAUUUGGUUUAACAGACAGAAGGAGAUCCAGAUCUUUUUUUUAAUCUUAGCAAAACCUAACCUUAGAAGAAAGCUUUAUGGCCACUGAAAGAGUGGAAUCCAGUAGGACUUGUAAAGCUCUGUUUUAGGAAUAGCAAGGGAAACAGGAAUGCAAGUUACUGCAAGCCAAUGGAAAAAAAAAAA
Molecule: long non-coding RNA, 1324 nt
Organism: Oxyura jamaicensis (ruddy duck)
Lineage: Eukaryota; Metazoa; Chordata; Aves; Anseriformes; Anatidae
Exons: 3
Source: RefSeq, a predicted model, not a curated record